GGGCGUUAGCCUUCACCAUCAGCUGGGGCGAGGAACAGAUCUAAAGUCCUGCUCUGGGAGGCAGAGGCCUGGGUUCCUGGCACAGCUGUACUACGGAUCUGCUGUACUACGGAUGUGACACUCCUUUCCGUGCCUCAGUGGACUCAGCAGCACGCUGCGGGCCUGGGCAUAACGGUUCCAGGGGCGGCCUUCAGGGAAAGAAAAGGCCAGCCGAACUCUAGGAGGCCAGCUAACCUGCUCCCACGUGGCCUGGGGCUGCCCUCCCAGGUGGACGCACAGCUCCUCCUCUGAAUCCUCGGGAUUCUUCCUCCUUGACCCCCAACUCCUGGAAGACCAUGCAGAAGGCGUC
RNAcentral lists this long non-coding RNA (349 nucleotides) under Mustela putorius furo (domestic ferret). RNAcentral describes it as "lncRNA (ENSMPUG00000031095.1)". Lineage: Eukaryota; Metazoa; Chordata; Mammalia; Carnivora; Mustelidae. The record is from RNAcentral.